UACGUAGGGUGCAAGCGUUAAUCGGAAUUACUGGGCGUAAAGCGUGCGCAGGCGGCUUUGCAAGACAGAUGUGAAAUCCCCGGGCUUAACCUGGGAACUGCAUUUGUGACUGCAUGACUGGAGUGCGGCAGAGGGGGAUGGAAUUCCGCGUGUAGCAGUGAAAUGCGUAGAUAUGCGGAGGAACACCGAUGGCGAAGGCAAUCCUCUGGGCCUGCACUGACGCUCAUGCACGAAAGCGUGGGGAGCAAACAGG
This 253-nucleotide ribosomal RNA is filed under the name uncultured bacterium. RNAcentral describes it as "partial 16S ribosomal RNA". It matches the Rfam family "Bacterial small subunit ribosomal RNA", at positions 524 to 776 of the family's 1533-position model. The record is from RNAcentral.